This 305-nucleotide ribosomal RNA is filed under the name uncultured bacterium. RNAcentral's name for it is "bacterial SSU rRNA". It matches the Rfam family "Bacterial small subunit ribosomal RNA", at positions 336 to 662 of the family's 1533-position model. The record is from RNAcentral.
CCCCUACGGGGCGCAGCAGGGAAUAUUGCACAAUGGAGGGAACUCUGAUGCAGCGACGCCGCGUGAGUGAAGAAGUAAUUCGUUAUGUAAAGCUCUAUCAGCAGGGAAGAAAGUGACGGUACCUGAAAAAGAAGCCACGGCUAACUACGUGCCAGCAGCCGCGGUAAUACGUAGGUGGCAAGCGUUGUCCGGAUUUACUGGGUGUAAAGGGCGUGUAGCCGGGUUGACAAGUCAGAUGUGAAAUCCUGCGGCUUAACCGCAGAACUGCAUUUGAAACUGUUGAUCUGAGUACUGGAGAGGCAGAC